Non-coding RNA from Chiloscyllium plagiosum (whitespotted bambooshark), 1865 nucleotides. Lineage: Eukaryota; Metazoa; Chordata; Chondrichthyes; Orectolobiformes; Hemiscylliidae. The record is from RefSeq and is a predicted model, not a curated record.
GAAGCUUCAGUGACAAAUUCUGUUUCAUCGCAUUCAAAAGCCAACCAUGGAUGCCUGAGGCACUCCUCAGCUAAAGCUCGCUCUCUGCCAAAGAAAAGCAGAUAAUAUAAACAAAGAGCGUCUUCCAGGGACUUCCCUUGGAGCUGGCAGCAGUCGGAGGCCGGAGACUCAGGAAGCAGUAAAGAGCUAAACAGCUUCUGCAAUCAGCCUUUCGAAAUCCUGCACUUGGGGAUACUAAAUGGUAUCAACAGAGAAGUGAACCACUAAAGGAACAAGAACAGAUUGAAGGCAACAAAAAGAGCUAUGCUAACUGCUGACUCCCAGUUUGACAGCUGAAGAAGUGGAAAUGAGGAGAAGGAAUGUCAGGAGCGGUGGGAGCAGCUAUUUCCCGGAAUGUUGGCAGCGAUGGGCCCACCGUUGAUUUUGAGCCCAGUUCUGGGUGUGGCUGCUUCAGCAUUGCUGAGAUUGGUCCUAGCACAGACUCAUGGCAAGACCACCCUCAAAAAUGGCAAUAUGGUUCCAGUGGUGCAGGCACCCGAGUGUUCGCAGACUGAGGGACGGACUUUGUGGCUUUGUUCUUCUGGUGGCUGGACCCAUGGCAGAGGUGGGCGAGUGACAUGGAUGUUUACUUUUUUUUGACUGGCUUUUUUAUUUCUGUUUUUAAUCCUAUCUUUUGAAUAGUAAGAUGGCACCGGAAAACAGCAACUAUGCACACUUUUCACUGUACUCCUGCAUUCGUGCAGUCGAGUGUACGUGACGAUAAAAAAAAGUCUAAAUCUAGAAUAGGCUGAAUACUGUGUACAAUAUCUGCAAAUCCCAGCAAUAGAUAUGGGAGAAAAUAGAAUAUCAUAAAAGAGAGUGGACUCAGUAAGGUAUCAACAUUACCAGGUACCAGAACUGAUGAUGACACAAUUACCAGCCUCAAAAUGUAGCCUUUCAACUUGUAAUACAAUCUCUCCAUGAUCAUACAACCCUUUCUGUCCAUUUCACGCACACCCAUACUCCAAGCAAAGCACACAUUCAACUUACAACAGCAAACCUUCCAGUGGUUUCACUACAACACACCCAGUUUGGAUUUCAGGUCAGAUUUAUGACUGUUAUCAUCAACAUCUUUUUCCUGGGACAUGAAGCAGUUGUGGUGACAUUCAGAAGCAAGUCACUUCUUACAGUGGAAAAGCAGCUGAAAGUGAAGGCUAGCUGAGCACUGGCUGAUAAUGCAGUACUAGAUGAGUACCAUAACCUUGACAAUUGAUGGAAGUACUUCCAGUGUUAGAAUGCAUCUGUAGGCAUGCUCGCUGCAGGUGAAAGACAGAGUCUGAAGCAGCUGUCCAUUGUCCUUGAUGAGUAAGUGUGUCAAGGUUUGGCGUCUGCUGAUGCCAGGCAUUGUUCAUUGCUCAUAUACUGCUUAGGAAAUAAUUCAUUUUUAUUUGUAUUUAGGAUGAGAGCAUUGCUGCUGAGGCCAGCAUUUAUUACCCAAUGCUGCUGCUUUUUGAGAAACUAGUGGUGAACUGCCUUUUCGAAUACAACCAAAUAACUUGCUAUGCCAUUUCAGAGGGCAAUUAAGAGUCAACUACAUUGCUGUGGUCUGAGUUCACAUAUACAGCACCCUGGUUAAGGAAGGAAGAGUUCCUUCCCUCAAGGACAUUAUUAAAUCAGAGGCAUUUUUAUGAUCAUUCUGUAGUUUAAAUAAUCUAGACGAUUUAUUUAAUUAAUUGAAUUUUAUUGCCCCAGCUACCACAGCAAUAAUAACACUGCAAUAUGAACUCACCUCUUGAUUAUUAUUCCAGGCUUCAGGGGUUAUUACUCAGGUAAAAGAAUCACAAUGCAGUGGAAAGGGCAAAUCUGGUUGGGUUGUGCAUCCUACU